Molecule: ribosomal RNA, 754 nt
Filed under: Staphylococcus aureus
Lineage: Bacteria; Bacillati; Bacillota; Bacilli; Caryophanales; Staphylococcaceae
Description: bacterial SSU rRNA
Rfam family: Bacterial small subunit ribosomal RNA
Source: RNAcentral
UUCAAAAGUGAAAGACGGUCUUGCUGUCACUUAUAGAUGGAUCCGCGCUGCAUUAGCUAGUUGGUAAGGUAACGGCUUACCAAGGCAACGAUGCAUAGCCGACCUGAGAGGGUGAUCGGCCACACUGGAACUGAGACACGGUCCAGACUCCUACGGGAGGCAGCAGUAGGGAAUCUUCCGCAAUGGGCGAAAGCCUGACGGAGCAACGCCGCGUGAGUGAUGAAGGUCUUCGGAUCGUAAAACUCUGUUAUUAGGGAAGAACAUAUGUGUAAGUAACUGUGCACAUCUUGACGGUACCUAAUCAGAAAGCCACGGCUAACUACGUGCCAGCAGCCGCGGUAAUACGUAGGUGGCAAGCGUUAUCCGGAAUUAUUGGGCGUAAAGCGCGCGUAGGCGGUUUUUUAAGUCUGAUGUGAAAGCCCACGGCUCAACCGUGGAGGGUCAUUGGAAACUGGAAAACUUGAGUGCAGAAGAGGAAAGUGGAAUUCCAUGUGUAGCGGUGAAAUGCGCAGAGAUAUGGAGGAACACCAGUGGCGAAGGCGACUUUCUGGUCUGUAACUGACGCUGAUGUGCGAAAGCGUGGGGAUCAAACAGGAUUAAUACCCUGGUAGUCCACGCCGUAAACGAUGAGUGCUAAGUGUUAGGGGGGUUUCCGCCCCCUUAGUGCUGCAGCUAACGCAUUAAGCAAAUCUUGGAUUAAGGUGGGGCACCCCUAAGUUGACAUACCGUUCUAGGGCUCGGCUCUCUCUUCUGC